This is a non-coding RNA of Pimephales promelas (fathead minnow), 892 nucleotides long. NCBI's taxonomy places the organism in Eukaryota, Metazoa, Chordata, Actinopteri, Cypriniformes, Leuciscidae. The record is from RefSeq and is a predicted model, not a curated record.
UAUUUAGAAUGGCUUAACCUCACAAAAUUUUGUUCACAUUAUUGUUCAUGAGUAAGAGAACAUAACGUUAAAUUAGCGGAACUUUUCUCUGAGUGUUUGUUUGGGGAGGGAGCGUCAUCGGUGGAACACUUCCGGGGUUUUUCCUCGUGCGGUCUGUAAUAGCCAUUAGCCACUUCUACCUGACCUGUGCGCGAGGCUCGUGAGCGCACGCAAUGUUGCUUCUCUCCAUGAAUGUUACUGUGUUACACGAGAGAGAGAAGCUGAAGCCCCGUUGAUCCACUGAUGAUCUCUCUGUUUACAGGUGUGUUGUUUAAUUAGUUCUGUUUUGUGAAAGGAAAGAGAUCUGGUUGACUGUUAAUAAAUAUGUACUGUAUUAACAGUGUUAUCGGGGAAUCGAAUCAGAUUCGUGCGUGACGCACGUGGUGCGCCCUGCAUAUGGUAUGCUGCUAAAUGUGCAUUGAGCUUUUCUUUUGGAUUUAUGUUUACAAAUUAUAUUAUAAUUUAUUGGUUGUUUAUCAUAGCAUGUUAUUUUAUAUAAAUAUCUGAAUUAAUGCAUAUAAAUACUUGAAUUAAUGCUUAUGGUCAUUUAAUUUAGUAUAAAAUUGAUGUACUAUACAUUAUUGUAGUGUAUUGAUAAGAGUAUUAAUGUGAUGUAUCACAAGGAAGAUUAUGAAUGUGUAACAUUUAUUAUUUUAUUUACAUGUUUUAUUUAUUUUUCUUAAAAGAACUGUAAUAGCCUCAGUCUACCUGUGCGCGAGGCUCAUGAGCGCACGCAAUGUUGCUUCUUCCAUGAAUGUUACUGUGUUACACGAGAGAGAGAGAAGCUGAAGCCCCGUUGAUCCACUGAUGAUCUCUCUGUUUACAGAUUAAAAAGGAAAAACAUUGGAUCUCA